Molecule: long non-coding RNA, 503 nt
Organism: Rana temporaria (common frog)
Lineage: Eukaryota; Metazoa; Chordata; Amphibia; Anura; Ranidae
Exons: 2
Source: RefSeq, a predicted model, not a curated record
AUAAUUAUAAUUCAAGAAGCUGCAAGCUUGGACACUAAAGCAACCUUGAUGUAUUCAACACAACUGUAGCCUCAGAAACCAGCUGGAACAGAAUACGGGAAAAAGACACUGUGCCUAGAAAGUCCUGUACCAUCUUCUCUCUCAUUGCAUUUGACAAAGUACUGUAUACUAAUAGUGAAACUCAGAAGCUUGUACAAAUGCUUCACCUGAGAUGUGAAACUUGUUCCAGUAAAUAUCAACUUCCACAAUCACAAAAAAAGAAAGCUCUCAGCCAAGAAAACGUAACCCGCCUCCUUGAACGUCUCACAAUGAACUCCGCAGAGAAAGCACCUGACAGCAAGAGGAUUGCCCAAGGCAGACUUCUACAAAUGGGGGUGGUGAACUCUUAUGCAUGGAAAGGAUGGAACUGAUAUAUACCAAUACAUAUAACAUUUGCUAUGUAUGGUCAUUUGGUGCAUUAUGUUAACCCUUUGUCUUGCUAAACAUGUCAUAAUUCAAAAAAA